UGAGUAACCUGCCCUUAACUCUGGGAUAAGCCUGGGAAACUGGGUCUAAUACCGGAUAUGACUCCUCAUCGCAUGGUGGGGGGUGGAAAGCUUUUUGUGGUUUUGGAUGGACUCGCGGCCUAUCAGUUUGUUGGUGAGGUAAUGGCUCACCAAGGCGACGACGGGUAGCCGGCCUGAGAGGGUGACCGGCCACACUGGGACUGAGACACGGCUCAGACUCCUACGGGAGGCAG
Molecule: ribosomal RNA, 233 nt
Filed under: uncultured bacterium
Lineage: Bacteria
Description: partial 16S ribosomal RNA
Rfam family: Bacterial small subunit ribosomal RNA
Source: RNAcentral